UACGUAGGGGGCAAGCGUUGUCCGGAAUCAUUGGGCGUAAAGCGCGUGUAGGCGGUUCAGUAAGUCUGCUGUGAAAGUCCAGGGCUCAACCCUGGGAUGCCGGUGGAUACUGCUGGGCUAGAGUACGGAAGAGGCGAAUGGAAUUCCGGGUGUAGCGGUGAAAUGCGUAGAUAUCCGGAGGAACACCGGUGGCGAAGGCGGCUUCCUGGACCGACACUGACGCUGAGUCGCGAAAUCUAGGGGAGCAAACUGG
This 253-nucleotide ribosomal RNA is filed under the name uncultured bacterium. Its description in RNAcentral is "partial 16S ribosomal RNA". It matches the Rfam family "Bacterial small subunit ribosomal RNA", at positions 524 to 776 of the family's 1533-position model. The record is from RNAcentral.